GUAGACUCCUGCCCUAUGGGCCGUUCUCAUCAAGCUGCCUCUCACUACAGAAACAGGAGGUAGACUCCUGCCCUAUGGGCCGUUCUCAUCAAGCUGCCUCUCACUACAGAAACAGGAGAUAGACUCCUGCCCUAUGGGCCGUUCUCAUCAAGCUGCCUCUCACUACAGAAUCAGGAGAUAGACUCCUGCCCUAUGGGCCGUUCUCAUCAAGCUGCCUCUCACUACAGAAACAGGAGAUAGACUCCUGUCCUAUGGGCCGUUCUCAUCAAGCUGCCUCUCACUACAGAAACAGGAGGUAGACUCCUGCCCUAUGGGCCGUUCUCAUCACGCUGCCUCUCGCUACAGAAACAGGAGAUAGACUCCUGCCCUAUGGGCCGGUCUCAUCAAGCUGCCUCUCACUACAGAAACAGGAGAUAGACUCCUGCCCUAUGGGCCGUUCUCAUCACGCUGCCUCUCACUACAGAAACAGGAGGUAGACUCCUGCCCUAUGGGCCGUUCUCAUCAAGCUGCCUCUCACUACAGAAACAGGAGGUAGACUCCUGCCCUAUGGGCCGUUCUCAUCAAGCUGCCUCUCACUACAGAAACAGGAGAUGGACUCCUGCCCUAUGGGCCGUUCUCAUCACGCUGCCUGAUAUUAUCUCAUAGAACAAAACGUGUCAAAUCUCCGAAACCUGUUAGCCUCAGACCGCGUUAUCCAAAACACCUCCAAAAGCGGCAUUAAAUUUCCCCCCGUAGGCUUUGAGCAACGAGCCAUUGGGACUACAAGCUGGCGAGCCCUAUAGCUCUGUUCCAAAGUCCAAUUCAUUUAUUAGUCUCUCAAAUCCGUGUAUUUCUUUACACACCUAUGACCGCAUAUUGUGUGGAAGCUCAGGGGGGGGAAGCUAAAUUCCAGACCACGAUGUCUUUCUCGCUCUCUUGUAAUAAAUGUGAUCAAAUUGGCCAAUAGGAGACUUGUUGAAUGCCUUCCAGUCCUUGUGAUAACCUCUCUCUGUCUCUCUCUCUCUCUCUGUCUCUCUCUCUGUCUCUCUCUCUGUCUGUCUCUCUCUCUCUCUUCUCUCUCCUCUCUCUCUCUCUCUCUCAGCUCGGUCUAUCCCCCCCCCCCCCAGAGCAGCAGGGUAGACCAGUCAGGCAGGCAUGGCUUCGUGUUGUGAAUGAACAACUCAGGCACGUUCUCACAUUCCUCAAGGCAAACAGCACAGAGAUUGCUGAGAUUAUCAUAAUUGUCCUAUUUCGUGCAAUAGUUCCGUAUACGCUUACCUUUCAAAAGACUACAGGCACUGGGUAGCUGUAAGUAUAAGGGUUAUUACACCAUCAUUGGAUACAAGUGUCACUAAAUGAAGACCUGAAUCAAAUGUAGCCUACAGUAGUCGCUAAUUCCUACCUUUUUGUGAUGACGACCAACUGUGAUUUGAUGCGGGGUAAAAUGACAUGGUUGCUGCACAGCCAGCCCAGCCAAUCGGAAGGCUUAUCCUGAGCAAUAACCGCUGCAACCUGGUCUCAGAGCUUUUUGUAUUAUUCUGUACGUAAAUCUGGGGAAACUCAAUUUCCUGUGUUAUUUUAUGUAUUAAUUUGUGGAUGUCUAUCACCCAUUUCGUAUGAUAUGUUACGAAAUACGAUUUGUAUUAUAUGUUACGAAUUCUAGCUCGGCUAGGGGUUUUUGAGUUAGGCUAAAGAGUUAAGUGUUAGCUAACAUGCUAAAUGGUUGCAAAGUUUCAACAAAAAAAAAAGUAGUAAGUAGAUAAAAUGCUAAAGUUGUCUGUGAUGCGAUUCGAACUCACAACCUUUCGGUUACUAGACGUUGGCUUUAUACACCCACUCAUCCGACUUCCGUUUUUUUUUUUUACCUCAAGUAAACCAUCUGUCUUAUACAACCCUAUCAAACAUGCCAUACUAAUUUUACAGUCCCGGAUUUACGUUUACUAUGUAAUGACAGUGUAUGAGACCAGGCUGUAACAACCACAUCGAUGAGAGCCGACGUGCACUUAAUAAUACCGUGCGCGAUAUGUAGGCUACGCAAACAAAGGCAACACGCCAGAAACCUUGGGACUUUUCAAAACGUACCAAGUUACUUUCAUCGAGCUUCUGAAUUCUAUAAAUGAAUUCAGAGAACAGCCAACUGUUUCGAGAGAUAAACCAACAAGUAUCAGUGAACAGGCGCUCUUUGCUUUACCAAAAAUAAUCUGGCCAGCAUUCCGGAAACAAAUGGUGACUGUGUCCCCUACUAGAGCGUUCAAUCUGUCUUUAUUUGUGCUCGGAUUGUGAAAGUCUACCGUAAUAAUCGCCCUACCCAUGUGAACUCGGUAUAAUUGAUUUAAGUAACAAAUUGUCCCCAGUAGCUGCUGAAAGAAACACAGUUGUCUGUGGGGGAGGGGUGGCCCUGGACAAACCGAGCAUGUGAGUCGUGACAUGAUCUUUCUAUGUAGAGAAAGCGCCUAGAUAAAUACAAAAAAAAAACGAAAUGUAGCCAGUAGAUGAACUAACUACCUACUGCAACAGUCUCCCACUCCAAUACUGAGCAAACAAAUAAUAAUAAUGUAGAGAUACCGUGUGUGUUACAGUGUUGCAAGCUCACCAGUUGAACAAGAAAGUGUCUCAUUGGUAAAUCAAUGCUGAUUGUUGGCUUCGUUUUUUUACAUUAUUCUGUCGGUCCAAAAUAAUGACAUCAGUUUCAGAGGAAAAAGGCCGGAUCACCUUGACUGUUAACCUUGAACCCUGAUUCCUUCCAAAAAAAUCUAACUGUAUUGGGAUAAAACUACUAAUUACCGAGGUAAUGGAUGUCCCCCAUUGUCAUUUGGCACAUUAUUUUGUUCAGAGAAAUAAAGUAAUUGAUAUUUACCAACUCUUAUCAAUGUUUUCCAUUCUGGGCUGACAGCAGAAACAAGCAUGCCAUUAUGGCAAGACAAGCACAUGUUAGUUGCAAUCCAACACCAUAUCAUGUAAAUGAUGUCCUUCAAAAUGACCUCUUUGGCAAAGGACACCGAGUCUAGCUUUCGUUGUACGUGAUCGACCCGGGUUUAAACGAAUAAUAACGGAUAGGAACAUUAUUAACGUUCACUUGACCUAAAAGUCUGAAUAUAUUUCAACUGCCUUUUUUUUUUAUUUUUUUUUUUUUUUAGACAGAACUAAUUUUCAUGACAUUUAUUUUGAAUCGUAUUCCAUCAAUAGGUUAUACGGUUAUUUUACAGAAGAGUUUUUUAUAAAUCACGUUUAAUUGAUUUGUCAUGUUUCCAUUGAAGAGUGAAUGAUCUCUACACAGCACGCUAUGGUCAAUCAAACAGGUGCUGUAUCAGGAAAUACAGAACGACUCAGGAACUCUCUGUGCCGUUACAUUAUUCUGACAAUACACGGAAACAACAGGGCUACAACUCCUAUCGUUCUUAUCCUCCAGUUCAUUUCAAGAAAAAGCGUCGAUUAAAAGUAGUUUAUUACGGAUUUAUGUACUUACACCAACUGCCACCAGUGCGUCCUAGAAAUUCCUUCUUUUCCGAAUUCCACAGAAAGCUCUUCCAUCCACCGUCUCCAUCUUUAUUUGCCGACAUCUUUUUUUUUUGCCUUUUAAUUUCCCUUUUCAAUCAAUAUUAUCUAAUGGGUGUAGGUACCCGAUUCGUGUACUGUCCCCCGGUACAGAAUAGUAAAGGACAGUUUCGUACCCGGCUCUCCUAUUGUACACCACACAUUUAGUUCUUAUGGUAUCCGACUCCGCCCGCAAACUCUUGUAAUAAGUUACCUACAAAGAGGGGGGGGCUAACUCUGACCAAUCACAAGCGGUCAUCCUUCUGCGUAAGAAUCAAGGGGGCAACAGCUAUGAUCACUGCUCUAUGAAGGCAAGACUGCUCUAUGAAGGCAAGACUGCUCUAUGAAGGCAAGACUGCUCUAUGAAUGCAAGACUGCUCUAUGAAUGCAAGACUGCUCUAUGAAGGCAAGACUGCUCUAUGAAGGCAAGACUGCUCCACGAGGCAAGACUGCUCUAUGAAGGCAAGACUGCUCUAUGAAGGCAAGACUGCUCUAUGAAGACAAGACUGCUCUAUGAAGGCAAGACUGCUCUAUGAAGACAAGACUGCUCUAUGAAGGCAAGACUGCUCCACGAGGCAAGACUGCUCUAUGAAGGCAAGACUGCUCCACGAGGCAAGACUGCUCCAUGAGGCAAGACUACUCUAUGAAGGCAAGACUGCUCCACGAGGCAAGACUGCUCCACGAGGCAAGACUGCUCUAUGAAGGCAAGACUGCUCCAUGAAGGCAAGACUGCUCCAUGAAGGCAAGACUGCUCUAUGAAGGCAAGACUGCUCCAUGAAGGCAAGACUGCUCCACGAGGCAAGACUGCUCUAUGAAGGCAAGACUGCUCUAUGAAGGCAAGACUGCUCCAUGAGUCAAGACUGCUCUAUGAAGGCAAGACUGCUCCAUGAAAGCAAGACUGCUCCAUGAGUCAAGACUGCUCCAUGAGGGUUCAAAACGAAAUGGUGUCAACUCAAAUGGUAGAAUUAUUAAACCCGAAAUAGAAUUAAAACAAUUCUAUGUUGAUGUCAUAAACUCGGAAACAUUAUAUUACCAUUCUUGGAGUUCUAUUAUCACAUCGCAGGUUUAAAAAGUAAUUAUAUUUCUCAGGAGUCAACUUUGUACUUUAGUACAUUUGAUUAUAAUUGUUGCUAAAUAUCACAUCCAUAAAAUUAAUUGUUUAUUAAGGGGGGGGGAAAAACAUCUUAUUCAAUAUUUUUUUUUUUAAGGUAGACUUAAAUAAUUACUUUGCCAAAUUGCU
RNAcentral lists this long non-coding RNA (4753 nucleotides) under Salmo salar (Atlantic salmon). Its description in RNAcentral is "lncRNA (ENSSSAG00000115696.1)". The record is from RNAcentral. Lineage: Eukaryota; Metazoa; Chordata; Actinopteri; Salmoniformes; Salmonidae.